GAUGAACGCUGGCGGCGUGCCUAAUACAUGCAAGUCGAGCGAACAGACGAGGAGCUUGCUCCUCUGACGUUAGCGGCGGACGGGUGAGUAACACGUGGAUAACCUACCUAUAAGACUGGGAUAACUUCGGGAAACCGGAGCUAAUACCGGAUAAUAUAUUGAACCGCAUGGUUCAAUAGUCAAAGACGGUUUUGCUGUCACUUAUAGAUGGAUCCGCGCCGCAUUAGCUAGUUGGUAAGGUAACGGCUUACCAAGGCAACGAUGCGUAGCCGACCUGAGAGGGUGAUCGGCCACACUGGAACUGAGACACGGUCCAGCCCCCUACGGGAGGCAGCAGUAGGGAAUCUUCCGCAAUGGGCGAAAGCUUGACGGAGCAACGCCGCGUGAGUGAUGAAGGUCUUCGGAUCGUAAAACUCUGUUAUUAGGGAAGAACAAAUGUGUAAGUAACGAUGCACGUCUGGACGGUACCUAAUCAGAAAGCCACGGCUAACUACGU
RNAcentral lists this ribosomal RNA (496 nucleotides) under uncultured bacterium. Its description in RNAcentral is "partial 16S ribosomal RNA". It matches the Rfam family "Bacterial small subunit ribosomal RNA", at positions 28 to 506 of the family's 1533-position model. The record is from RNAcentral.